AUUAAUUUUUUUUGUGCAGCCAAAUUUCCCUCAACCAAAAGAUUGUGUGUGUGUGUCUGCGUGUGAAGAAGGCGCUAAAAAGCAGCCUUAAUAUAGUAACCAAACCCUGCUCAAAUCUUUAUAGUAAACCCAAUAAUUGAAAUAAACUUAAAUAUCUUAAUUUUCUCUUUAAAAUUGUUGCUGCUUUGAUGGUCCAGAAGGUAAGGGUGUUUAGAAGUGGAGGUUUCAAAUCUCUGCCAGGAAUUACAAGGAAUCUUAUUAAAUAUCUUUAUUUAAGUAACCAAAUAUC
Molecule: long non-coding RNA, 289 nt
Organism: Octopus sinensis (East Asian common octopus)
Lineage: Eukaryota; Metazoa; Mollusca; Cephalopoda; Octopoda; Octopodidae
Exons: 2
Source: RefSeq, a predicted model, not a curated record